RNAcentral lists this ribosomal RNA (402 nucleotides) under uncultured bacterium. RNAcentral describes it as "bacterial SSU rRNA". It matches the Rfam family "Bacterial small subunit ribosomal RNA", at positions 355 to 774 of the family's 1533-position model. The record is from RNAcentral.
UGGGGAAUAUUGGACAAUGGGCGCAAGCCUGAUCCAGCCAUGCCGCGUGAGUGAUGAAGGCCCUAGGGUUGUAAAGCUCUUUUGUGCGGGAAGAUAAUGACGGUACCGCAAGAAUAAGCCCCGGCUAACUUCGUGCCAGCAGCCGCGGUAAUACGAAGGGGGCUAGCGUUGCUCGGAAUCACUGGGCGUAAAGGGUGCGUAGGCGGGUCUUUAAGUCAGGGGUGAAAUCCUGGAGCUCAACUCCAGAACUGCCUUUGAUACUGAGGAUCUUGAGUUCGGGAGAGGUGAGUGGAACUGCGAGUGUAGAGGUGAAAUUCGUAGAUAUUCGCAAGAACACCAGUGGCGAAGGCGGCUCACUGGCCCGAUGCUGACGCUGAGGCACGAAAGCGUGGGGAGCAAACA